Cannabis sativa is the source of this 1338-nucleotide long non-coding RNA. RefSeq lists it as uncharacterized. Lineage: Eukaryota; Viridiplantae; Streptophyta; Magnoliopsida; Rosales; Cannabaceae. The record is from RefSeq and is a predicted model, not a curated record. The transcript is spliced from 2 exons.
UAAUAAUAAUAAUAAUAAUAAUAAUAAUAAAACUCAAGGGUAUACUUGCAAUGAUUUUUGUAAUCUUGAGUGAAAUUUUCUAAAAAAAAAUGACAAAACUCUAUAUCUAGUUGGAUAAAACUUGCUUGCAAUAUGUUACAUAUAUAUUUAAUUAAUAUCUUCUUAGAAGACUUUUUUACAAAAAAAAAAAUGGAAAAAGAAAAUUAAUAUAAAUUAAAUUAAACUAAAGGUAGCUAUAGAUUUGGUAGACAUUAAAUUGUGAGGAGGAUAGUAAAGAAUUGCUAUGAACUCUUUCUAACCUCGAGUUAUUCUUGGAUAUAGUUUUUUGAAUAUAUAAUUCUUGGAAAUAGUUAACAUCAAAGAAAAAAGGAAAAUAAAACAACUGCAAUUAAUUUCUCUAUAGACAAAAGUGAGACAUUCCCAACUGGCAGAUAACACCCCAAAGGGAACUGAUUAAGGCUUAUUUUGGCAUCAAUUAGAAGGAGAUUUUAUAAUGCACCUCAAGCAAAGACAGCAUGAGACAUUGAUGUUGACACUCAUGAUAAAUCAAAUUGGUCAGGUAAAAUUACUACUAUACUAUUGUCAGAACUGCACCACAUGUCUUGGUUUAUGGACAAAAAUUAGUACUUAUUAUCAUCUAUAUAAUUGGACUAGUUGCUAUAAAGCUGGUGUGCAAAAAAAAUAAAAUAAAAAAAAGUUAGAUUGAAUUGAAUCACUCUAAUAAGUUGACAUGAAGAUGGCUAUGGUUCAAUACAAGUGCCUUCUUAUUGCAACUCUCAUCUUGUUUUGCUCAUUCUCUAUAACAGCUAAAGCUAGGAUUUUGAAAGAAGGUGAACAUGUAGCCAAGAAGAGUAAUGAUAAUGAGUUGAAACCAAACCAAGAUAGGGAGCUUUUUGACAACAAUGAAUUAGUGGCUAUGGAUUACUCUCCGGCCGGUAAAACACCGCCAAUACAUAACUAAAAAUAUCCACAACAUUGUUGAGAAAACAAAAAUGUACGCUGCAAUGUUUUUUUUUUUUUUUUAUAUGUAUAUUUAUAUAUUUUCAACUUCUUCAUAGGUAGAUACAUGGUUUUUGUCCAAGGAAUUAGUAUAGAUACAGGAUUUGAAAAGAGAAAGUGGGUUACUGUUAAGAUAUGUAAAUAUUAUGGAUCUUUUGUUGGUAAACUUUUCAAGGAAAAGGUCAACUGUAAUUAUAUGAAGUAUAGGGGAUUAAUGUAAAAACGUUUCUCUUUAGUCUCCCCAAGUUUUGAACUAAUUAAUUAAUUUUAUUUUAUUUUUGAUUGACUAAUCCAAACUAUAGUGUCAAAUCACUAGUUAUGCUGGUUUUGGUCCAAAAA